This 92-nucleotide transfer RNA is filed under the name Datura stramonium (jimsonweed). RNAcentral describes it as "tRNA-Ser". It matches the Rfam family "tRNA". Rfam says of the family: Transfer RNA (tRNA) molecules are approximately 80 nucleotides in length. Lineage: Eukaryota; Viridiplantae; Streptophyta; Magnoliopsida; Solanales; Solanaceae. The record is from RNAcentral.
GGAGAGAUGCUGAGUGGUUGAUAGCCCCGGUCUUGAAAAUCGGUAUAGUUUUGAAUAAAGAACUAUCUAGGGUUCGAAUCCCUCUCUCUCCU